CUACGGGUGGCAGCAGUGGGGAAUAUUGGGCAAUGGGCGAAAGCCUGACCCAGCAACGCCGCGUGAAGGAAGAAGGCUUUCGGGUCGUAAACUUCUAUCCCAGAUGAAGAUAAUGACGGUAAUCUGGAAGGAAGCCCCGGCUAACUACGUGCCAGCAGCCGCGGUAAUACGUAGGGGGCAAGCGUUGUCCGGAAUGAUUGGGCGUAAAGGGCGCGUAGGCGGCCUUUUAAGUCCGAUGUGAAAGUCCUGCUUUUAAGGUGGGAAUUGCAUUGGAAACUGGAAGGCUUGAGUUCAGGAGAGGUAAGUGGAAUUCCCGGUGUAGCGGUGAAAUGCGUAGAGAUCGGGAGGAACACCAGUGGCGAAGGCGACUUACUGGACUGUAACUGACGCUGAGGCGCGAAAGUGUGGGGAGCAAACAGGAUUAGAUACCCUGGUAGUC
RNAcentral lists this ribosomal RNA (439 nucleotides) under uncultured bacterium. RNAcentral describes it as "partial 16S ribosomal RNA". It matches the Rfam family "Bacterial small subunit ribosomal RNA", at positions 339 to 795 of the family's 1533-position model. The record is from RNAcentral.